This 456-nucleotide ribosomal RNA is filed under the name uncultured bacterium. RNAcentral's name for it is "SSU rRNA". It matches the Rfam family "Bacterial small subunit ribosomal RNA", at positions 26 to 518 of the family's 1533-position model. The record is from RNAcentral.
AGAACGAACGCUGGCGGCAGGCUUAACACAUGCAAGUCGAACGAGAAGCUACCUUCGGGUAGUGGAAAGUGGCAGACGGGUGAGUAACGCGUGGGAAUCUACCUAGUGGUACGGAAUAACUCAGGGAAACUUGGGCUAAUACCGUAUGUGCCCGUAAGGGGAAAGAUUUAUCGCCAUUAGAUGAGCCCGCGUCUGAUUAGCUAGUUGGUGGGGUAAAGGCCUACCAAGGCGACGAUCAGUAGCUGGUCUGAGAGGAUGAUCAGCCACACUGGGACUGAGACACGGCCCAGACUCCUACGGGAGGCAGCAGUGGGGAAUAUUGGACAAUGGGCGCAAGCCUGAUCCAGCCAUGCCGCGUGAGUGGUGAAGGCCUUAGGGUUGUAAAGCUCUUUUACCCGGGAUGAUAAUGACAGUACCGGGAGAAUAAGCUCCGGCUAACUCCGUGCCAGCAGCCGC